UGGGGGAUAUUGCACAAUGGGCGAAAGCCUGAUGCAGCGACGCCGCGUGGGGGAUGAAGGCCUUCGGGUUGUAAACUUCUUUUGCUCUGAACAAGGCAUGCCUUUGGGGUGUGUUGAGUGUAGGGGUUGAUUAGCGCCGGCUUACUACGUGCCAGCAGCCGCGGUAAUACGUAGGGCUCGAGCGUUUUCCGGAAUUAUUGGGCGUAAAGGGCUUGUAGGUGGCUGGUUGCGUCUGUCGUGAAAGCUCAUGGCUUAACUGUGGGUUUGCGGUGGGUACGGGCUGGCUUGAGUGCAGUAGGGGGGGCUGGAAUUCCUGGUGUAGCGGUGGAAUGCGCAGAUAUCAGGAGGAAUACCGGUGGCGAAGGCGGGUAUCUGAGCUGUUACUGACGCUGAGGAGCGAAAGCGUGGGGAGCGAACAGG
This 420-nucleotide ribosomal RNA is filed under the name Fusobacteriota bacterium. Its description in RNAcentral is "Fusobacteria bacterium partial 16S ribosomal RNA". It matches the Rfam family "Bacterial small subunit ribosomal RNA", at positions 355 to 776 of the family's 1533-position model. Lineage: Bacteria; Fusobacteriati; Fusobacteriota. The record is from RNAcentral.